UUUCGUAGCUGUCCUGGUGUUAUGUUUUCUCCGAGCUGACGUGCUCUUUUUGUGAGCGUUGCUUUGCUAACGAGCACUUAGAGGACAGAAACGUCACCUGGAACUGGACUCUUUAGUAUCUCGAACGCCUUUGCUGGCUGUCAGGGAGGUGUACAGUCCCCGCAUCCCUCAGACGUCAGGUACGCAGUUCACCGACACAAAGACCAUGAUUGUGGCGGCUGCAUCUCUCUAGAUGUGAUGCCAGUGCUGUGAGUGUCGAGUUCUAUUCGGAGUCGCUAUUCGGCGCUUUCAGGUAGUAGGGGUUUGACAAGUCCCGCAUGACGUGAAGUCCAGUGGAGUUCCACAUGCUUUGCUCAUGAAUCAGCAUGUUCUUUCAUUUGUGUCCCCACGCAGCUCGCAUGUCCUCUGUGACUGAGAAAAGACCCGAUAUCCUGUGUUUCUGCGAUUCUUUCUUUGGCAGUUAGAAAGUCUGUUUGGAACCUUUCUCCGAGUUCUCGCGUGUGUGGUGGGUAUCUGCCGAUGUAGCUCAGUCGGUAGAGCGCGAGGCUCUUAACCUCGUGGUCGCGGGUUCGAGCCCCGUCGUCGGCUUUACCUUUUCGCCAGAUUCUUCUUCUUUUUAAUCGAUUUGUUUCCCUUUCGUCCGUGUCUUCUUCCCCGACGAAAAAGAAUAUCCGGGGCAACGGGGUUGGCGGGUCAGCCCUCGCGGGCGGUCCUCCGACGUCAGUCGCAUGUGCAUGCUCGCGGAAGAGGAAGUGCAGUCGUGAAACCAAUGCCCAGGGAAAAUUGGUGCUGUGUGCUGAAGAGAGAUGAAGGUGUGGAGUUCUCUUUUUAAAGUAGAGACUCGCCAGCGUUUCUCGGAAUGCUUAGUGAGUGCGGUAGAGUGAUCUUGCUGCAUGCAGGCACGAACGGGGCGGUUGUUUCGUGUUUUCCCGUGUUGACAGGUAGAUGUCCCACUUUUGUGGAGGCUGUGGUGCAGAACGUGCGGGAGUUCCUCUCAGUUUGUCACCCUGAUUCGGGCGAAACGUCUUUCCUCUUGUAACCGGUUCUGUUUAGGCGUCGCGAACUGCCACUGCCAUGUCGGCUUAACCUUUGUGUCCGUGUUUCGCCCGGCGAAGUGUCAGUUGUUCCGAAUGGAACGAAACACGGCCGUUUCGCACUGCUGGCGCGAAGUCGCCUGGUCUGUGCACUUUCGUGAAACGCAUGCUUUGUCUGUCCUUCAGAAAAGGGAAGUGAUUUGUACAAAGUAAGCGCUUUCGAGUUAGGCUCACGGUGGAGAUGUCGUUCGCGAGCGUAGUCGUCUGUUCCGGCGCAGCAGACGAAGUAUUCGUGAAGCACUUUGCCAGCUGAGUAUCACUUCUGCGAAACAGACAACAGAGCACCGCUAACGCGAGAGAACGUAGAGCGUUUGCAAUCCUUUACGGAAACACGCAGCCCCGUGUCUUUUUGUAAGUUCACUGCGCGCAAGUCAGCAAGCGUGAGGAAUGUACUUAACCAUCCAAACUGCAACACCAAUCUACGCAGCUUUGCGCCGGGGAAAGCUCCAGAGUCACACACAGCAAGACACGCCUAGAGAGCCGCGAGAAUGUGCGAGUCUACGCGCGACUGUAGCUUUGAGGACGCGCGCGUUUUUCGGGAUUCGAGGUAGAAGGCAG
RNAcentral lists this transfer RNA (1652 nucleotides) under Toxoplasma gondii VEG. The stretch from base 516 to 588 matches the Rfam family "tRNA". The record is from RNAcentral. Lineage: Eukaryota; Apicomplexa; Conoidasida; Eucoccidiorida; Sarcocystidae.